Molecule: ribosomal RNA, 497 nt
Filed under: uncultured bacterium
Lineage: Bacteria
Description: partial 16S ribosomal RNA
Rfam family: Bacterial small subunit ribosomal RNA
Source: RNAcentral
GAUGAACGCUGGCGGCGUGCCUAAUACAUGCAAGUCGAGCGAACAGACGAGGAGCUUGCUCCUCUGACGUUAGCGGCGGACGGGUGAGUAACACGUGGAUAACCUACCUAUAAGACUGAGAUCACUUCGGGAAACCGGAGCUAAUACCGGAUAAUAUAUUGAACCGCAUGGUUCAAUAGUGAAAGACGGUUUUGCUGUCACUUAUAGAUGGAUCCGCGCCGCAUUAGCUAGUUGGUAAGGUAACGGCUUACCAAGGCAACGAUGCGUAGCCGACCUGAGAGGGUGAUCGGCCACACUGGAACUGAGACACGGUCCAGACUCCUACGGGAGGCAGCAGUAGGGAAUCUUCCGCAAUGGGCGAAAGCCUGACGGAGCAACGCCGCGUGAGUGAUGAAGGUCUUCGGAUCGUAAAACUCUGUUAUUAGGGAAGAACAAAUGUGUAAGUAACUAUGCACGUCUUGACGGUACCUAAUCAGAAAGCCACGGCUAACUACGUG